GAUGAAGAACGCAGCGAAAUGCGAUAAGUAGUGUGAAUUGCAGAAUUCAGUGAAUCAUCGAAUCUUUGAACGCACAUUGCGCCCUUUGGUAUUCCUUAGGGCAUGCCUGUUCGAGCGUCAUUUAAACCUUCAAGCUCAGCUUGGUGUUGGGUGACUGUCCGCUUCACCGCGGACUCGCCUCAAAAUUAUUGGCGGCCGGUACAUUGGCUCUCGAGCGCAGUAGAAACGCGUAACUCGAGGUCCUCGUGCUGGCUCCCAGAAGCUAUCUUCACAAUUUUGACCUCGGAUCAGGUAGGGAUACCCGCUGAACUUAAGCAUAUCAAUUAGCGGAGGA
This 334-nucleotide unclassified non-coding RNA is filed under the name soil metagenome. Its description in RNAcentral is "partial contains 5.8S ribosomal RNA, internal transcribed spacer 2, and large subunit ribosomal RNA". The stretch from base 1 to 120 matches the Rfam family "5.8S ribosomal RNA", at positions 35 to 154 of the family's 154-position model. The record is from RNAcentral.